UCCUGAGUAACACUGUGUCACACCCAGGUUUCAGGGCACCAAGACCCGGGCGCGAACAUAAUCACCAGGUAUGCUGGGACCAAGUCUCACACAUAUGAUGAAUCAUGGCAAAAGAUCGAAUGUCACAUAUUUAAUAUAUAAUAAGAGUUCUGGACAAAAUAAAUAAAUAAUUACAUUAUAAGGUGACAACGGUCUAGCAACCCAAAGUUGUUUGGGAGACGACGGCCUAGACCUCUCACGAACUCGUCACGGCAUCCUCCAUGCGCCUCAUCCUGUGGUACCUGUUCUUGACCUGUAGGGGGUGUGAGACAGCAAGAGUGAGCUCACAUACGUUCAUAGCUCAACAAGUUGUGGGGAAUAAUGUGCAUGAACUCGCCAAAGGUGGGAGCUCAUGAAGUGUAAGGCUUACCAAAGAGGAUGGUUGAAGUUGGGCAUUGAUUUUAAAGUUGGUCAAAAUUUUAUUAGCAAUUACUAAGUAUAAGUAAAUACCAACCCAAUUAAGUAGUAGAACAAAAGUAACAACAACACCUGCGAUGCAAUGCAUAUGACAAAUUAAAUUUAAGUUCCAUAAAUUAAUCAUGUGAGGGUACGAGCUGCUCAUGACCGUGAGCACGGCUAGUAUACCAGUUUUACACUCUGCAGAGGUUGCACAUCUUUACCCACAAGUCAUGUUACCCAUCUACGAUGGGGUUGUACGGGCCCCAUACACCUCUACCAAGGAAGCGAGGCAGGGUAACACUAUGAGGCCUUUACAAAGUUCCACUAGUUUCAGAAAACCCGCUACAGUUUAUAGGAAGCUCCAAUGCAGGGAUCCCUCGCCUGACCGCCAUCGCAGCAAAAUCAACCCAAGGACCUCCCUACACUGACCACUUCCCUACUGCCCUUGCCCCUUUCGGGUAAGGUAGUCAUCCACUAGUUUUCCUAGUUAAUCAGCCAAGGGCAUCCCAUACUACCCUUGUGGUAGCACUGUUUUCCCGGGUGGUCGCUCCAUGUUCCCAUUAACAUAAUGAUCUUAUCAUGAAGAGUAAAUAAAAACUGAUAACAAAAGUAUGAAUAAUGUGUAUCUCAAUGCCCAAAUCCACAUAUAGCACUAGCAAGUACUACCCAAAAAGUUUAGUGGUAAACAAGGCAUAAAGAUAGUCAAACUAGGGUAACCUAUUGGGUCCCAUCAAAAUUAACCUAAGCAGAUCAUUAUGAUUAAUAAGAACAUGACUGGAUAAAAAGAAGUGAUCAAGGGCACAACUUGCCUGGGACUUGAGAUUCUAGGUACCAGGAUGAUCUUCAGCUGACUCCUAACCUCUCGCUAGUCGUAGCAAUACAAACAAACAUGGUAUAGGCAAAAUUAACAUCACACCAAACAUAAGAACAAAUUAUAUAAUAAUAAUCUACGCGUCAUUAUGUAAUCUUGGGAUCGAGAAUCACUAAAUUCGGAACUACGGUUUAAAAGAUAUGAUUUUCCAAAGAAUUAGGAGUUGGGUAGAGAAGAAAUUAAGUACAUGAUUUUAAUUUUGUUUCAUUACAACAUAAAGUUACAAGGGGAUAAACAAUAUUAUUAUGGAACUAAUGCGACUGGAAUGGGUAAAUUUGGAGUUAAGAUGGAUUUAAUAUGAAUUAAGCAAGUUUCUAUAUUUAUUGUUGUACUAAAAUCCAUUUUCUUUAUUAAUUCUACCCAUUUUAUUAUUCUUUGGGCUGCGGCCACAAUUUUCCAGAAGGCUAGGGGGUCACAUGUCAAUUUCAGGACCUAACUGUGCUAAUCUUUCUAUACCCGGGGAUGGCGGGUCAAUUACCAGAUACCCCAGGGUCUCAUUAAUAAAAGUGGUCGGCUGAAGAGGUAUUUUGAAGUCUCGGCCGCACGAUUAGAUCAGAGUGGCCCAGAUUAGCUCGAGUCUUGAGUGAACCGUUACGCACAUCAGCUAUUGAUCCAGAGAUCUGCGUCACAGAUUUGAUGAAGUUUUGUUUUCCUAUGGAUCGUCCGAUCACCACCCCACGGCCCUGAUUUAUCCUCCGAGGAGGUAUCUCUACUUCUUAUCAUAACCGCCAGCCCUGAGAUGGACGGUGCAGAGGGCAUCUUCUACAACCGUGCCAGGACGCACAACCGAGCACAAUGGUGCCACAGCUAGCGCGGCGGCGCACAGCUCCCGCGACGGCGACCAUGGUCAGAAUCCCGCCAUCCGGCGAACUAGUCCACAAAUUCAUCGUAAACGCGCUAUAGGGAGGGUUCCGAUGGUGAACAUGACAGAGAAACGACACAUAGGCGGAGGGCAUAGAGAGGGGGGGGUGUCCUUGCUGCAAGGCGGGACCGAGGCGGGGCUAUUCUCCGGCGAGGGAUCUAUGGCUAACGAGGGCUCUAUUCCAUCCGAAGCACGAUACUAGCCGUCGAGAGGAACAUGGCGAAGCUAGGGGAGAAGGUCUCACCGGGAGCGAAGGUGGGGACGAGGUCGGACACGGUGUUGGGCGAAUCGCUGGCGUUGAAGUCCCUCCGGUGAGAAACUGUGUAGCCUCCGGUCCACAAUCCCACCAGGCAAGGCCAUGACAGACAUCCUGGUGGCCUUAUUUAUCCGCACGGCCCAUCCCCGAGGGAUCUACAUCGACGAGCCAGAGUCUUCCCCAUGGCGAACAUCAUUCUCACACUUCCACCCAUGGCGGUCGGGUAUGGGAUGACUCGAAUUCGGGUGCCAGCUCGAUGGAAGGAGGGGAGGGGGUACAGAGACGGCUUUUAAUAGGGCAGAGGAGCGCCCAGGUUGUUGCGAGGCGUGCACCACCCGCGGAAUCCGCGCG
RNAcentral lists this long non-coding RNA (2778 nucleotides) under Zea mays. RNAcentral describes it as "long non-coding RNA (ZMAY_LNC003891)". Lineage: Eukaryota; Viridiplantae; Streptophyta; Magnoliopsida; Poales; Poaceae. The record is from RNAcentral.